ACGAACGCUGGCGGCGUGCUUAACACAUGCAAGGCGUACGGUAAGGCCCUUUCGGGGGUACACGAGUGGCGAACGGGUGAGUAACACGUGAGUAACCUGCCCACAACUUUUGGAUAACGCUAGGAAACUGGUGCUAAUACUGGAUAUGUGCUCCUGCUGCAUGGUGGGGGUUGGAAAGCUCCGGCGGUUGUUGAUGGACUCGCGGCCUAUCAGCUUGGUGGUGGGGUAGUGGCCUACCAAGGCGGGGACGGGUAGGCGGCCUUAGAGGGUGACCGGCCACAUUGGGACUGAGAUACGGCCCAGACUCCUACGGGAGGCAGCAGUGGGGAAUCUUGCACAAUGGGCGCCAGCCUGAUGCAGCAACGCCGCGUGCGGGAUGACGGCCUUCGGGUUGUAAACCGCUUUCAGCAGGGACGAAGCUUUUUGUGACGGUACCUGCAGAAGAAGCACCGGCUAACUACGUG
This 464-nucleotide ribosomal RNA is filed under the name uncultured bacterium. Its description in RNAcentral is "partial 16S ribosomal RNA". It matches the Rfam family "Bacterial small subunit ribosomal RNA", at positions 29 to 507 of the family's 1533-position model. The record is from RNAcentral.